AUUGAGACUAACAGUGUCUGCACGAUCUGCGGGAGGGAGGAGGAAGAUGAGUUCCAUGUUUUCAUCAAGUGCACCAAAGCACGAGCGAUCAGAGAGGAAAUGCGAAAGCAUUGGAAUCUGCCGGCGGAGGAUCAGUUUCGUUUUACUGGAAACGAUUGGCUUCAGAACCUGCUGGGCAAACACAUUGUCGAUAUACGUAGCAAAACCAUGCUCCUGUUAUGGAGGGCCUGGUGGCUCCGUGAUGAUUGCAUCCAUGGGGAGGGCAAAGCAACGUUAGGAUAA
This 282-nucleotide ribosomal RNA is filed under the name Triticum aestivum (bread wheat). RNAcentral describes it as "partial small subunit ribosomal RNA". Lineage: Eukaryota; Viridiplantae; Streptophyta; Magnoliopsida; Poales; Poaceae. The record is from RNAcentral.